ACCUGACAAGAAAAAAAAAACCUUCUCGGCGGUCCUCCUGCGCUACCGCGACUCUGUAAAAAGCUAGAGAGAACCCUUGCUUAAAAGGAGGAGGGAGAUGUGAAGGAACAGCGGUGGGCUACCCCAGCGAAAAACAGAGGCCGAACUACACCAAAGACACACAAGACCUCAUCUCCGUGAAGGAGGAAGAGAAAGAGAGAUCUACGGGCA
This 210-nucleotide long non-coding RNA is filed under the name Elaeis guineensis (African oil palm). RNAcentral's name for it is "long non-coding RNA (EGUI_LNC080063)". The record is from RNAcentral. Lineage: Eukaryota; Viridiplantae; Streptophyta; Magnoliopsida; Arecales; Arecaceae.